AGUUGUAUCCUGGCUCAGAACGAACGCUGGCGGCAGGCCUAACACAUGCAAGUCGAGCGCACCUUCGGGUGAGCGGCGGACGGGUUAGUAACGCGUGGGAACGUACCCUUUUCUACGGAAUAGCCUUUGGAAACGAAGAGUAAUACCGUAUACGCCCUUUGGGGGAAAGAUUUAUCGGAGAAGGAUCGGCCCGCGUUAGAUUAGAUAGUUGGUGGGGUAACGGCCUACCAAGUCUACGAUCUAUAGCUGGUUUUAGAGGAUGAUCAGCAACACUGGGACUGAGACACGGCCCAGACUCCUACGGGAGGCAGCAGUGGGGAAUCUUAGACAAUGGGCGCAAGCCUGAUCUAGCCAUGCCGCGUGAGUGAUGAAGGCCUUAGGGUCGUAAAGCUCUUUCGCCUGUGAUGAUAAUGACAGUAGCAGGUAAAGAAACCCCGGCUAACUCCGUGCCAGCAGCCGCGGUAAUACGGAGGGGGUUAGCGUUGUUCGGAAUUACUGGGCGUAAAGCGCACGUAGGCGGAUUGGAAAGUUGGGGGUGAAAUCCCGGGGCUCAACCCCGGAACUGCCUCCAAAACUAUCAGUCUAGAGUUCGAGAGAGGUGAGUGGAAUUCCAAGUGUAGAGGUGAAAUUCGUAGAUAUUUGGAGGAACACCAGUGGCGAAGGCGGCUCACUGGCUCGAUACUGACGCUGAGGUGCGAAAGUGUGGGGAGCAAACAGGAUUAGAUACCCUGGUAGUCCACACCGUAAACGAUGAAUGCCAGUCGUCGGGCAGUAUACUGUUCGGUGACACACCUAACGGAUUAAGCAUUCCGCCUGGGGGAGUACGGUCGCAAGAUUAAAAACUCAAAGGAAUUGACGGGGGCCCG
This 866-nucleotide ribosomal RNA is filed under the name uncultured Alphaproteobacteria bacterium. RNAcentral's name for it is "bacterial SSU rRNA". It matches the Rfam family "Bacterial small subunit ribosomal RNA", at positions 10 to 923 of the family's 1533-position model. The record is from RNAcentral. Lineage: Bacteria; Pseudomonadati; Pseudomonadota; Alphaproteobacteria.